This 311-nucleotide ribosomal RNA is filed under the name uncultured eukaryote. RNAcentral's name for it is "partial 18S ribosomal RNA". It matches the Rfam family "Eukaryotic small subunit ribosomal RNA", at positions 1470 to 1796 of the family's 1831-position model. The record is from RNAcentral.
CCCUUAGACGUUCUGGGCCGCACGCGCGCUACACUGACGAAGGCAACGAGCUUUCCUUUACCGAAAGGUACGGGUAAUCUUUUGAAACUUCGUCGUGCUGGGGAUAGAUCCUUGCAAUUUUUGAUCUUAAACGAGGAAUGCCUAGUAAGCGCAAGUCAUCAACUUGCGUUGAUUACGUCCCUGCCCUUUGUACACACCGCCCGUCGCUCCUACCGAUGAAUCGUCCGGUGAAGUUCACAGAGUGGCGGUUCGUGGAGUUGCUCGCGAAGUGAAAUGGACCUCACGAUUUAGAGGAAGGAGAAGUCGUAACA